Molecule: ribosomal RNA, 1296 nt
Filed under: uncultured organism
Description: bacterial SSU rRNA
Rfam family: Bacterial small subunit ribosomal RNA
Source: RNAcentral
CUUCGGGGGGCUGAGUGGCGCACGGCUGAGGAACACGUGGGUACCUGCCCCGGUGUGGGGGAUAACGGCCCGAAAGGGACGCUAAUCCCGCAUACGCUCUACGGAGGAAAGGCUUCGGUCGCACCGGGAGGGGCCUGCGGCCCAUCAGGUAGUUGGUGUGGUAAUGGCACACCAAGCCGAUGACGGGUCCCUGGUCUGAGAGGACGACCAGGCAGACUGGGACUGAGACACGGCCCAGACUCCUACGGGAGGCAGCAGCAAGGAAUUUUCCGCAAUGGGCGCAAGCCUGACGGAGCAACGCCGCGUGCCGGAGGACGGCCUUCGGGUUGUAAACGGCUUUUGCCGGGGACGAAUGUGACGGUACCCGGCGAAUAAGCCCCGGCUAACUCCGUGCCAGCAGCCGCGGUAAUACGGAGGGGGCAAGCGUUGUCCGGACUCACUGGGCGUAAAGCGUGCGUAGGCGGCACGGUGCGUCGGCGCUGAAAGCGCCCCGCUCAACGGGGCGAGGUGCGGCGAUACGACCGAGCUUGAGGGCGUUGGAGGUUGGCGGAAUUCCGGGUGUAGUGGUGAAAUGCGUAGAUAUCCGGAGGAAUGCCGGUGGCGUAAGCGGCCAACUGGAACGCGCCUGACGCUGAGGCACGAAAGCGUGGGGAGCAAACCGGAUUAGAUACCCGGGUAGUCCACGCGGUAAACGAUGUCGGCUCGGUGUUCGGGUAUGUAUGACCAUGCCUGGGUGCCUAAGCUCACGCGGUAAGCCGACCGCCUGGGGACUACGAGCGCAAGCUUAAAACUCAAAGGAAUUGACGGGGGCCCGCACAAGCAGCGGAGCGUGUGGUUUAAUUCGACGCAACGCGAAGAACCUUACCCAGGCUUGACAUGUGGCUGCAUUCGGCAGAAAUGCCGGAGCCUUCGAGGGUGCCACACAGGUGCUGCAUGGCUGUCGUCAGCUCGUGUCGUGAGAUGUUGGGUUAAGUCCCGCAACGAGCGCAACCCUCGCCGGUAGUUAUACGUGUCUACCGGGACUGCCCUUCGGGGAGGAAGGCGGGGAUGACGUCAAGUCCGCAUGGCCCUUACGCCUGGGGCGACACACACGCUACAAUGGUACGGACAGUGCGUGGCAAGCCCGCGAGGGUCAGCUAAUCGCCAAACCGUACCUCAGUGCAGAUCGGGGGCUGCAACUCGCCCCCGUGAAGGCGGAGUUGCUAGUAACCGCGUAUCAGCCAUGGCGCGGUGAAUACGUACCCGGGCCUUGUACACACCGCCCGUCACGUCAUGGGAGUUGGCAAUGCCUGAAGU